This 253-nucleotide ribosomal RNA is filed under the name uncultured bacterium. RNAcentral describes it as "partial 16S ribosomal RNA". It matches the Rfam family "Bacterial small subunit ribosomal RNA", at positions 524 to 776 of the family's 1533-position model. The record is from RNAcentral.
UACGAAGGGGGCUAGCGUUGCUCGGAGUCACUGGGCGUAAAGCGCACGUAGGCGGAUUGCUAAGUCAGGGGUGAAAUCCUGGAGCUCAACUCCAGAACUGCCUUUGAUACUGGCGACCUUGAGUCCGGGAGAGGUGAGUGGAACUGCGAGUGUAGAGGUGAAAUUCGUAGAUAUUCGCAAGAACACCAGUGGCGAAGGCGGCUCACUGGCCCGGUACUGACGCUGAGGUGCGAAAGCGUGGGGAGCAAACAGG